Molecule: ribosomal RNA, 198 nt
Filed under: Triticum aestivum (bread wheat)
Lineage: Eukaryota; Viridiplantae; Streptophyta; Magnoliopsida; Poales; Poaceae
Description: partial small subunit ribosomal RNA
Source: RNAcentral
AUGGGACGACGGUGUGGGCUUAUCGACCUUGAGCAGAUCGAGGAGGACGGGCGGCUGGAUCUGAUGGACAUGAGGGAGCCCGAGAUGACCUUGUGGCCGAGGCCGGGGCAGUUCGUAGAGGGGACGGGGUCACGACGGCUGGACAGAGGAGGAAGGAAGGAGAUAUUUUUCUGGGGCAGGAAGAGCAAUGCGGGAUAG